RNAcentral lists this ribosomal RNA (253 nucleotides) under uncultured bacterium. Its description in RNAcentral is "partial 16S ribosomal RNA". It matches the Rfam family "Bacterial small subunit ribosomal RNA", at positions 524 to 776 of the family's 1533-position model. The record is from RNAcentral.
UACGUAGGGUGCAAGCGUUAAUCGGAAUUACUGGGCGUAAAGCGUGCGCAGGCGGUUUUGUAAGUCUGUUGUGAAAUCCCCGGGCUUAACCUGGGAAUGGCAAUGGAGACUGCAAGGCUAGAGUUUGGCAGAGGGGGGUAGAAUUCCACGUGUAGCAGUGAAAUGUGUAGAGAUGUGGAGGAACACCGAUGGCGAAGGCAGCCCCCUGGGUCAAAACUGACGCUCAUGCACGAAAGCGUGGGGAGCAAACAGG